This is a long non-coding RNA of Quercus robur (English oak), 4729 nucleotides long. RefSeq lists it as uncharacterized. The record is from RefSeq and is a predicted model, not a curated record. NCBI's taxonomy places the organism in Eukaryota, Viridiplantae, Streptophyta, Magnoliopsida, Fagales, Fagaceae. The transcript has 14 exons.
CACUUCAACACCAGCCGUUCUCUCUUUUCAUCUGUCUUUUUUUUAUUUCUCAUUUUCUUUCUUUGCCCUAAUUUUCUUCUCCAACAAUGGGCAAAAACGUAGUCUAUGAUGAAGAAGAUGGAAGCUCUUUAUUCGAAGCUCUACGAUAAGUACACGAAACUCAAGUUGAGCCGAGGAAGCAGAUCUCAUGCUCUUUGCAACUGUUGAAUAAGACCGAUAACUAUGUGGCUUUCAAGGUGAAGACUACAAAUCCAAAGAAGUACUGUGUGAGGCCCAAUACUGGAAUUGUGAUGCCCAGGUCUUCCUGUGAUGUUAUAGGUAACAUCACGGGCUUAUGCAGCACGACCAGAGCCUCGAGAUAACUCAUCCAAGUUGAGGAGAAUUCAAUGAGUUUCGGUCUCUGAUGAUAAUUCUUCUCGCUCUCCAUCUGAUUCUACUCAUAAGGGUGUGGCGGUGGUGAGUGCUGUCUGUAAAGCUUUGAGCUUGAGUUGUGAGGCUUAUAAAUAGGGUGUGUUAAUUUGGUCUGGUGAAAGAUGGGAUAAGUGGCCUUUUGGAGUUUCAUUAUUGUGGCCGUUGUUGUUGGAGUUUAAAAGUUACUUACACAUGGUUUGCGUGGAGUUAAAGGAGCUAAUCAAAAUGUAGGCAUGGAUUAUAUGCUACUGUUAUUGGUAGACUGAGCGAAAUUAGAGCAUAAGCAUAUCCAAUGAGCCAAUGGAGAAGCUCUUACAGCUUGAUAACUUGAAAUACAAUAGGAGAAAUUAGGAACAAUGCUGGACAAGAUGACUUGCAUUCAGAAUAUGGUUACCAAAGAAUAAUGGCCCGCCAUUAUGCUAUUAGAGAUGGCUAUCCAGAGCAGUUUCUGUGCUUUGUGUGUUGCAGGUUUCACAAUAGAAGCUAGCAAAAAUUCGAACAGGUAUCCUUGCAAAAUCUGCGCUACUAUCAAAAGAUAGAUGACGUAUUUUUGAUCCUCCUCACCGUGCUGCUGCCGAUGAAGCCCAGACCUCCUAACAGAACAAAAGGGCCUCUCUCUCAAUCUCACUCGGACCUCUCUUCAUUACCAUUUGAUUUUGUUUCAGCGCCUUCCUUAUGUCUCUACAAAGAAUAUGUAGUUCUCCUUUUCGCCAUGCAUGCUGUAGCCAUGGAAGCCUUCAUUAGUUUUUUAGUUCUAGAAACGAGAGACUUGAGUGAAGAAGAAAUGAAUGUGAAAGCAUGGGAAACACACCGACUUUGGAAGAAGUGCAUCUGAUGAAGCCUUGCAAUAUAUGCUAGUUUUUAUUUUUCUGUCUCUUCUGUAUAAACAGUUUGGUUCUUCUAAUAUGUAAGAGUAAGACUCUUUUAUAUAAACAUUAUUUUCUUAAUUCACAAGUUCGUGUUACAAGAUGAAUGAGCCCAAAAACACGGAAAAAAUCUUUUAUCAGGAAAAAUACAUGAUUGUUGGACGAUAUGGCACAAGUUGGAGACCAUAAAUUUAGGAAACAACAAUUUCACCGACAACAUUCCAACAUCCAUUGGACCGUUGACUCUUCUCAAGUCUUUGCACCUACACAACAACAAACUCUCAAACAAAUUGCCAUCAUCUUUGAAAAAUUGUAUAGAAUUGGUUAUUAUUGAUCUCAGUGAAAAUGAGUUUGUUGGAUCCAUCCCUUCAUGGAUAUGACAUAGGCUUUUAAGCUUGAUGACUCUCAACCUUUGCUCAAAUAAUUUUCAUGGUCACAUUCUGAAAGGACUUUGUGCUAUAACUUCACUUCAGAUUUUUGACCUUUACCAUAAAAAACUAUUUGGAAGCAUACCAAGAUGCGUUAAAAAUUUUAGUGCCAUGGCCACAAAAAGUAAUUCAUAUCUCAAUAUGGAUUUUUACCCCCCAAUUUAUUCGUAUGGUGAAUCUUUCCCUCUUGAAAAUGCAUUGCUUGUGAUAAAGGGAAAAAUUCUUGAGUGUAGUACCAUUCUUCAACUAGUAAAAAGUAUUGACUUUUCCAAGAACAGCUUAUCAAGAGAGAUUCUAGAAGAAGUGACCAAUCUCUAAGAAUUACAGUCAUUGAAUUUGUCAUAUAAUCUCUAGAUUGGAAGUAUUCCUGUGAAUAUAGGUACUAUGGGUUCAUUGGAAUCUAUUGAUUUCUCUAUGAACCAACUUAUAGGUCAAAUUCCCUCAAGCAUGUCAAGUUUGACAUUUUAAAAUCAUUCGAACUUGUCAAACAACAAUUUGAUUGGGAAAAUUCCUUUAGGCACCCUGUUAUAGAGUUUUGAGGCAUCCAGUUUUAUUGGAAACAAACUUUGUGGACCACCACUUACUGAUAAUUGUACUACAAAUGGUGUAAAACCCAACAAUGAAAACAUAGGGAGUAAAGGUACUCUUGGACUUGAAGUGGAUUGGUUCUAUGUGAGCAUUGCAAUUGGCUUUGUGGUUGGUUUUUGGGUGUAUGCUGUCCUUUACUAUUGAACAAGCAAUGGAGAAUUAUCUACUUUCAAUUCCUAGAUCACAUGGGGGAUAGUUUUAGGGGUGUUGUUUCAUUGUAAGUAAAUGUUGUAAGAUUCUUCAUAUUUUAGUGCAAAUGUCAUGUGAUAAUGUUAAUCAAUGUUUUGAUGGUGUCUGUAACAUGUGUUAGUUAAUACACUCCACUAGCAUAUAUGAAUAUGAUAUUUCUUCCUAUGGACAACAAAUGCAAUCCAAUUUGUAGUUUCAUUUAAUCCCUGUAGAUUAAUAUUGUAAAAUCAAACUUUAGUUUGUACAAGCAAUGGAUUCAAUAAAAUAGUAUACCAUACCUACUUAUCAAAAAACAAAAGUAGUAUGCUAUACCUUGAAAUUACUCCUAGGCUUUGUUUCUGUUACUUUAAACAAAUGUUUAUCUUGAGUUUCAGCAGUGCUUUUGUUGAGUUCAUGGGUUUAACACAUUUUUGGAAACUUAAUUGGGAUUGGCCAUAUGCAAGUUUAACACAUUUUUGGUUCCCUAUUUAGGUGGACAAUUUCUCAAACAUCAUAUUGAAAAUGAACAUGAAAUUUGCAACUUGCAAGUCAAGCUGAAUAGUGUCUAGUGGAAUACUUUCUCGCAAUUGCAAGAAAGAUUGUAGUACAUGAAACAUUAUUUGUGAGCAAACCAUCAAUAGCUGGUUUUGGCUAAAAACCUGAUUAUCCAUACGCAUAUGUUGUUGCCUGCUAUUAAACAUGUAAAGGUUCUUUUGAACACAAUUCUUCCUUAUUGCUUCAUCAUAUCUGUAUCUUUCAUAAUUGUUGUGUUUCUCUUGGUAUAGUUUUCUUUGUAAUACCCUACAAUUCCAACCCAUGCAAAGGUGCUCCAAUCUAACUUGCAAUGAGAAAGAAAAAUGUGCCCUUCUAAGUUUCAAAGUUCUUACAAGUCCUUUAAAUAGGCUCUUGUCUUUGUCUUUUCAAGAUUGCUGAAGAGGGAUUGGAAUCUGAGUGACACGUAAGUGGAAAUCGAGUUGAGCUCCACCUAUAAAUUAAUAUUCUGCUGAUGAAUGAUGAAUAUAGAUUGCCGUUAUGUUGAAAGAUUAAUCCUUUUUUACUGGAGCUAAAACUACUAAAUAAAUUGAGUUAAUUAUUCUAUUGGUGAGGGCAUUCCAAGCUAUUUUGGUUACUCUGGAGAGAAUUAGACAUCUUGACCUCUCCUUUGCAGGAUUUGGAGUAUUCAUUUCUCAGGAGCAUAGAACUCUAUCACAACUUUACUUUCUUAAUCCUACAGGAAAAUGAUCUUUAUUUGGAUGGUCUAGUAUUGGUUUAUUGUCUUUCUUACCUGCAUUAUUUUUAUCAAUCGGUGUCAACUGUCAUAGGGAAAAAGAAAAAGGCUUCAGGUAAUUUGUGGUUCUCUUGUCUCACUUUCUUGUAUGAUUUGCAGUCCAGAUUAUCUUAUAUGGCAGCUAAACUUUAUUAUUUAAAAUUUCAAUUAGGAUGCGCUGAGACAAGGGCUAAUUAAAACUUAAAGUGGACUGGGCAUUGUUAGGAAGUCAAUUCAACUGUAUGGUCCUUUUCAACUCGAGCUUAUAUCAAUGCUGUAAGAUCAUAUUGUAAUUACAGAUCAAAAGACUCUUUUUCCUUCCAAUUUUCUCCAGAAACACGAGCAUUUUUGUUUUAUUAGCUGAAUGGGAACAGAAUAUAAUUGAAGCUUUGUUUUCACUUAAUUUUAUUACCAUAAUCACUCAUAGAAAUGACGUCUUAUAGGUCUAAAGAAUGCAACAAAACAUUUCAUCUCAUUUCAGCUUCGUCUUGAAAUAAUUUUAAACAUGUCGUCGUGGCACUUAUUACUAGAUGAAAUGAUUAGAGGAUUCAGAAAUUACACAACGAUUAAAGGGCCUUCCUUUUCUCAUUGCUGCCUAAUCACACAUUCUUUGCUAAAAAUGUACCCUUCUCUCCAAGCCAAGGAUGACAUGUGGAAUCAAAUCAGAAUAUGGUGUUAUCAAAAAAAAAAAAAAAAAAAAAAAAAAUAUAUAUAUAUAUAUAUAUAUUUUUUUUUUUGCCGCACCUUUCUUCUGUUUUUCUGUGUUUUGGGAUCAACUUAUAUUCUAUAGGCCAAUUAGCUUCCCACAUCUAUCUGGUAUACAAUCCAGAUUGUAAAUAUCCUGCAUUAUUAGUUAUCCUUUUAUCAUUUUCUGUCUUUGUUAAAAUUAUGUGGCUGUUAUAGACCUUUCUUCUCGGAUUUAUGGAUAUUUUGCCAAUAUUCUGGUAAAUAUUUGGAAUUUAUAAAAUUAAAUGUGAUUGAUAAUGAAUCUUAAAUUAACU